GGGGAUGCAAUGGUUUCGACAGGGAUUCUGAGGCAUGAUAAGCGUGGCGGGCUGGCUAAUCCCGUAUAAUGGCCAAAACUAAAUUUAAACGACAACAAUAGAGUUGCUCUGGCUGCCUAACCUACUGCCCCGAUAAGGGGGAGCCGGUUGGCAGUGCCGCGGCCAUACGCGCCGCCCGUUCCCCUUGGGAAUACUGCGCCCCAAGGCUGAGCGUCAAUUUAGCAGUGAACUUGCAUCGGCCCUUCGCCCUUGAGCCGGUCAAGCACAAAAGGGCUACCAAACCGGGGAGCCUGCCUAUCGGCGCCCUGGUGCGGAAAAUCUAAAUGACAGGCUGCCCACGGAGAAGGUUAUGUCAAGGGGUUUUUGGACACGGGUUCGACUCCCGUCAUCUCCACCA
This 397-nucleotide transfer-messenger RNA is filed under the name Eubacteriales. RNAcentral's name for it is "UBA1740 sp017621755 Standard tmRNA". It matches the Rfam family "transfer-messenger RNA". Rfam says of the family: Bacterial tmRNA, also known as 10Sa RNA or SsrA, is named for its dual tRNA and mRNA-like properties. Its role is to liberate the mRNA from a stalled ribosome. To accomplish this part of the tmRNA is used as a reading frame that ends in a translation stop signal. RNAcentral also lists the same sequence under 1 other name. Lineage: Bacteria; Bacillati; Bacillota; Clostridia. The record is from RNAcentral.